This 427-nucleotide ribosomal RNA is filed under the name Phyllodesmium sp. 2 EJM-2010. RNAcentral's name for it is "partial 16S ribosomal RNA". It matches the Rfam family "Bacterial large subunit ribosomal RNA", at positions 1830 to 2591 of the family's 2925-position model. The record is from RNAcentral. Lineage: Eukaryota; Metazoa; Mollusca; Gastropoda; Nudibranchia; Glaucidae.
AGCCAUUAGCUGAUAUAAAUGGUUAGACCUGCCCGGUGUAUUGAGUAAAUUAACGGCCGCAGUACUUUGACUGUGCUAAGGUAGCAUAAUUAAUUGACUUUUAAAUGGAGUCGGGAAUGAAUGGUAGAACUGGGUUUAACUGUCUUAAAGGUAAUUAACUGAAUUUGCUUUUUAAGUGAAAAAGCUUAAGUUUAAUAAAAAGACGAGAAGACCCUAAGAAUUUUAACAAAUUAGUUCUAUUAGUUUUUAUUGGGGCGAUAAAGAGACAAUUUGGAACUUUCUCGAUAAGACUAGGCGAUAAUGUUAAGUUCGAAUAAAUUACCUUAGGGAUAACAGCAUAAUUUUAAAAUUAAGUUUGUGACCUCGAUGUUGGACUAGGAAACUAGUAGGCUAGCCGUUUACUAUGUGGGUUCUGUUCGAACUUUUA